Molecule: ribosomal RNA, 465 nt
Filed under: uncultured bacterium
Lineage: Bacteria
Description: partial 16S ribosomal RNA
Rfam family: Bacterial small subunit ribosomal RNA
Source: RNAcentral
GACGAACGCUGGCGGCGUGCUUAACACAUGCAAGUCGAACGGAAAGGCCCUGCUUGCAGGGUACUCGAGUGGCGAACGGGUGAGUAACACGUGGGUGAUCUGCCCUGCACUUCGGGAUAAGCCUGGGAAACUGGGUCUAAUACCGGAUAGGAGCCAUUUUUAGUGUGAUGGUUGGAAAGUUUUUUCGGUGUAGGAUGAGCUCGCGGCCUAUCAGCUUGUUGGCGGGGUAAUGGCCUACCAAGGCGGCGACGGGUAGCCGGCCUGAGAGGGUGGACGGCCACAUUGGGACUGAGAUACGGCCCAGACUCCUACGGGAGGCAGCAGUGGGGAAUAUUGCACAAUGGGCGCAAGCCGGAUGCAGCGACGCCGCGGGGGGGAUGACGGCCUUCGGGUUGUAAACUCCUUUCGCUAGGGACGAAGCUUUUUGUGACGGUACCUAGAUAAGAAGCACCGGCUAACUACGUG